Molecule: ribosomal RNA, 1403 nt
Filed under: Lacticaseibacillus rhamnosus
Lineage: Bacteria; Bacillati; Bacillota; Bacilli; Lactobacillales; Lactobacillaceae
Description: bacterial SSU rRNA
Rfam family: Bacterial small subunit ribosomal RNA
Source: RNAcentral
AUUAUUGAAAGGUGCUUGCAUCUUGAUUUAAUUUUGAACGAGUGGCGGACGGGUGAGUAACACGUGGGUAACCUGCCCUUAAGUGGGGGAUAACAUUUGGAAACAGAUGCUAAUACCGCAUAAAUCCAAGAACCGCAUGGUUCUUGGCUGAAAGAUGGCGUAAGCUAUCGCUUUUGGAUGGACCCGCGGCGUAUUAGCUAGUUGGUGAGGUAACGGCUCACCAAGGCAAUGAUACGUAGCCGAACUGAGAGGUUGAUCGGCCACAUUGGGACUGAGACACGGCCCAAACUCCUACGGGAGGCAGCAGUAGGGAAUCUUCCACAAUGGACGCAAGUCUGAUGGAGCAACGCCGCGUGAGUGAAGAAGGCUUUCGGGUCGUAAAACUCUGUUGUUGGAGAAGAAUGGUCGGCAGAGUAACUGUUGUCGGCGUGACGGUAUCCAACCAGAAAGCCACGGCUAACUACGUGCCAGCAGCCGCGGUAAUACGUAGGUGGCAAGCGUUAUCCGGAUUUAUUGGGCGUAAAGCGAGCGCAGGCGGUUUUUUAAGUCUGAUGUGAAAGCCCUCGGCUUAACCGAGGAAGUGCAUCGGAAACUGGGAAACUUGAGUGCAGAAGAGGACAGUGGAACUCCAUGUGUAGCGGUGAAAUGCGUAGAUAUAUGGAAGAACACCAGUGGCGAAGGCGGCUGUCUGGUCUGUAACUGACGCUGAGGCUCGAAAGCAUGGGGUAGCGAACAGGAUUAGAUACCCUGGUAGUCCAUGCCGUAAACGAUGAAUGCUAGGUGUUGGAGGGUUUCCGCCCUUCAGUGCCGCAGCUAACGCAUUAAGCAUUCCGCCUGGGGAGUACGACCGCAAGGUUGAAACUCAAAGGAAUUGACGGGGGCCCGCACAAGCGGUGGAGCAUGUGGUUUAAUUCGAAGCAACGCGAAGAACCUUACCAGGUCUUGACAUCUUUUGAUCACCUGAGAGAUCAGGUUUCCCCUUCGGGGGCAAAAUGACAGGUGGUGCAUGGUUGUCGUCAGCUCGUGUCGUGAGAUGUUGGGUUAAGUCCCGCAACGAGCGCAACCCUUAUGACUAGUUGCCAGCAUUUAGUUGGGCACUCUAGUAAGACUGCCGGUGACAAACCGGAGGAAGGUGGGGAUGACGUCAAAUCAUCAUGCCCCUUAUGACCUGGGCUACACACGUGCUACAAUGGAUGGUACAACGAGUUGCGAGACCGCGAGGUCAAGCUAAUCUCUUAAAGCCAUUCUCAGUUCGGACUGUAGGCUGCAACUCGCCUACACGAAGUCGGAAUCGCUAGUAAUCGCGGAUCAGCACGCCGCGGUGAAUACGUUCCCGGGCCUUGUACACACCGCCCGUCACACCAUGAGAGUUUGUAACACCCGAAGCCGGUGGCGUAACCCUU